GGAGAGGUGGCAGAGCGGUCGAAUGCGACGGUCUUGAAAACCGUUGACCAGUGUUCCUGGUCCGGGGGUUCGAAUCCCUCCCUCUCCGCCA
RNAcentral lists this transfer RNA (91 nucleotides) under Gammaproteobacteria bacterium. RNAcentral's name for it is "tRNA-Ser". It matches the Rfam family "tRNA". Rfam says of the family: Transfer RNA (tRNA) molecules are approximately 80 nucleotides in length. Their secondary structure includes four short double-helical elements and three loops (D, anti-codon, and T loops). The record is from RNAcentral. Lineage: Bacteria; Pseudomonadati; Pseudomonadota; Gammaproteobacteria.